UUGGUCUGUGGUCUGUAUCUU
This 21-nucleotide non-coding RNA is filed under the name Caenorhabditis elegans. Lineage: Eukaryota; Metazoa; Nematoda; Chromadorea; Rhabditida; Rhabditidae. The record is from RNAcentral.